This 327-nucleotide ribosomal RNA is filed under the name uncultured bacterium. RNAcentral's name for it is "bacterial SSU rRNA". It matches the Rfam family "Bacterial small subunit ribosomal RNA", at positions 568 to 899 of the family's 1533-position model. The record is from RNAcentral.
AGCGCAGGCGGACUUUCAAGUCGGUGGUGAAAUCUUACAGCUUAACUGUAAAACUGCCUCCGAUACUGUCAGUCUUGAGUGUGGAAGAGGGCGAUGGAAUUCAUGGUGUAGCGGUGAAAUGCGUAGAUAUCAUGAAGAACACCGGUCGCGAAGGCGGUCGCCUGGUCCAUUACUGACGCUCAUGCUCGAAGUGUGGGGAGCAAACAGGAUUAGAUACCCUGGUAGUCCACACCUUAAACGAUGAAUACUUGGUGUCGGGUCGAAAGGCUCGGUGCCAAAGCCAACGCAUUAAGUAUUCCACCUGGGGAGUACGAUCGCAGGUUAGAA